UCCUACGGGGGGCAGCAGUCGGGAAUUUUCGUCAAUGGGCGCAAGCCUGAACGAGCAAUGCCGCGUGAACGAGGAAGGUCUUCGGAUCGUAAAGUUCUGUUGAAGGGGAAAAAGAGCGGAGAGAGGAAAUGGUCUCCGAUUGAUAUUACCCUUCGAGGAAGUCACGGCUAACUACGUGCCAGCAGCCGCGGUAAUACGUAGGUGGCGAGCGUUAUCCGGAAUGAUUGGGCGUAAAGGGUGCGUAGGCGGCCUGCUAAGUCUGGAGUGAAAGGUACCGGCUCAACCGGUACAGGCUCUGGAAACUG
RNAcentral lists this ribosomal RNA (305 nucleotides) under uncultured bacterium. Its description in RNAcentral is "bacterial SSU rRNA". It matches the Rfam family "Bacterial small subunit ribosomal RNA", at positions 337 to 635 of the family's 1533-position model. The record is from RNAcentral.